ACUCUCCCUUCCCGAUCGAAUCUGAGGGGAACAGCGACCGGAGGUGAGGAGCAGCCGGUGCGGAUGGGAUGGAAUCCAUCUGGUCGAUCCCAGCGACCGGAGGAGGAGGAUGCGGAUCGAGGCAAGAAAGGUGGGGCGUCGUGAGGAGUAGCCAGUGCGGCCGGAUGGGAUCGAAUGCAUCCGGUCGAUCCCAGCGAUCGGAGGAGCAGGAUCCGGAUCAAGGCAAGAAAUGUGGGGGCGAGGGAGAUAAUGGCAGGCGCCUCCCCUUCUUGAAACUGCUCUGCUCUCCUUGAAGCUCGCAAUCAUGGCCCUCCUCUGCUGGAACUGCUCUCCUCUCCUUGAAGCUCGCAAUCAUGGCGUAUUAUUCAUUCAUGGCUGGUAAAUUCGCAAACCUUUCUUAUGCCCAGUGGUACUAUAUAAUGCUGCCCUCCCUGACUGUAUGCACACACUACUCCCGCAUCUUCAUCUUCUUCAGCACCAUGCUAAGGUGAUGUUCAUGCACAAUUGAUUUGGGCAGAUUCUGCAGAUUCCUACUGUCCAUUUUUGUGCUCAGCUGUUCAUCAUCUCUCAAAUGGCUUUUGGACAGGUAAUUACUCCGCACAUUAUUCUUUCGUGUUUUGCUAUCAAUUUUACUACUACGGCACAAAUUGCUUAAACAAUAUAUUCCUCUGGUAUUCAUAUCAUGCUGCUGUAUCGAACAAGUGAAUUAGAAAAGUAGUAUUACAAUGCGCAAAAAAAUGUAGCCAUUCCGUCGUAGGGGGAGCCGAAGCCUUGACAUCUUCUGCCUGUACUAAUAAACGAGCAAAGUCCAAUUCUGUGGAUAAUUUUUUUCCCUAAGUACCCAAAGCAACAUUCAAAUGAAAAUCGUCUCGCCCGUAUUAAAUUCAGAAGAUAGAAGAAAUUAAUACAAUCAGGGCCACUGCGUGAUGCCACUGGCCAUAGAAUUGCCUCUUAGUGAGGAGUAUGCACUGAUUUGGCAUUUCAAUUUGGGGAGUUCUUCAGUUUAGGCGCAUUUGGGAAUUCUUCAGUUUCCCAUCUUCAAUGGAUAACGGUUGUUAAUUCUGGUCUAAAAUUAUUUAUUUGUUGAUCUAAUCAUGCUGUAAGUUAAAUUUAUCUAUGCAGAUUCACCCAUCGUAUAUUCUCCAAAUAAGUAUGGGAAUGGUUUUUGUUUUGCCGUAAGCAUCCAUAUAGAGAAAUUCAUUUUGAUGUGCCAGCUCUAAGUUCAUAUAGAUGUCCAUAUCAGACCUAUCAGAAUUAAGCCUACAGAUUGUCUUGAUUUUCUUGUAUCUGAAUUUGGAUGUACCAACUGGUUUUUAUGCUUGUGUAUCACAGCAAUGGCUAUUGUGAGGUUGCAGCAGGGAUACACCAUUAGAACUGACCUUAUUCUUUCAAGAGCUAAGAUCUACUCUGGUGUAUCUUUCAAAAGCUCAAAAAUCUUGGGUUUAACUAAUGGCAACACAGCCACGAGCAUUGGUGUUUUUUCUCGGUUUUUUGCAGGAAGAAGCAAACAUUCAGGUACAGAUUCAAGCAUCUACCCCAGCCACUUCUUCACCACUCCAGGCAGAAGCGCAAACACUUCUUCUUGCAGCCAACAUAUCCCAGCUCCUCCAGGUCUAGCAGCCAACUUUUCUCACAGAUAAUCUCACCCUUGCCAAGGAGGCGGCACCUAGGAAUGUCACUGCUGACACUGUUCCUUGGGCGGUCAGAAAGCAUCUUGCGCAUUUCUACAGGACCACCCAAGAAUUGCAGCUGCAGGUGUUUCACAUCUCUAGGGAAAUCAAUGGUAUUGCUCAUAAUGUAGCUCAUUAGGUUCUGAAUCGUUCCAUUGAACCCGUUUUUAGCUGUUUUGGUUCAGCUCAUAGGUAUAGAACGUGCCAUGUAAUUUCUCUCCUCUCUUCUCUAAAUCUCAAGGGUGUUUUUCUUUAUAUUGUACAGUGUACAAUGCUUUUGAGCUGGAUGAAUUUGUCGCCUUCGACGCUUUUCUCUGUUUAAGAAAAAGCUUAUACAGCAAUGAGAUUA
This is a long non-coding RNA of Aegilops tauschii subsp. strangulata, 2019 nucleotides long. RefSeq lists it as uncharacterized. NCBI's taxonomy places the organism in Eukaryota, Viridiplantae, Streptophyta, Magnoliopsida, Poales, Poaceae. The record is from RefSeq and is a predicted model, not a curated record.